Molecule: ribosomal RNA, 261 nt
Filed under: uncultured archaeon
Lineage: Archaea
Description: partial 16S ribosomal RNA
Rfam family: Archaeal small subunit ribosomal RNA
Source: RNAcentral
UAGCCGUAAACGAUACUCGCUAGGUGUCGGCCACGGUGCGACCGUUGUCGGUGCCGUAGGGAGCCGUGAAGCGAGCCACCUGGGAAGUACGGCCGCAAGGCUGAAACUUAAAGGAAUUGGCGGGGGGAGCACCACAACGGGUGGAGCUUGCGGUUUAAUUGGAUUCAACGCCGGAAAUCUUACCGGGACCGACAGCAACAUGAAGGCCAGGCUGAAGACUUUGCCGGAUUAGCUGAGAGGAGGUGCAUGGCGUAGUCGUGU